RNAcentral lists this ribosomal RNA (396 nucleotides) under uncultured bacterium. RNAcentral describes it as "partial 16S ribosomal RNA". It matches the Rfam family "Bacterial small subunit ribosomal RNA", at positions 360 to 775 of the family's 1533-position model. The record is from RNAcentral.
AAUAUUGCACAGUGGAGGAAACUCUGAUGCAGCGACGCCGCGUGAGCGAUGAAGGCCUUCGGGUCGUAAAGCUCUGUCCUAUGGGACGAUAUGACGGUACCAUAGGAGGAAGCCCCGGCUAACUACGUGCCAGCAGCCGCGGUAAUACGUAGGGGGCGAGCGUUGUCCGGAAUGACUGGGCGUAAAGGGUACGUAGGCGGCUAGGUAAGUCAGAUGUGAAAGGCAUGGGCUCAGCCUGUGUUAGCAUUUGAAACUGCUUAGCUUGAGUCAAGGAGAGGAAAGUGGAAUUCCUGGUGUAGCGGUGAAAUGCGUAGAUAUCAGGAGGAAUACCAGUGGCGAAGGCGACUUUCUGGACUUAGACUGACGCUGAGGUACGAAAGCGUGGGGAGCAAACAG